UGUUUCCUACGGGACGCAGCAGUGGGGAAUAUUGCACAAUGGGGGAAACCCUGAUGCAGCAACGCCGCGUGAGUGAAGAAGUAUUUCGGUAUGUAAAGCUCUAUCAGCAGGGAAGAAGAAAGACGGUACCUGACUAAGAAGCCCCGGCUAACUACGUGCCAGCAGCCGCGGUAAUACGCAGGGGGCAAGCGUUAUCCGGAUUUACUGGGUGUAAAGGGAGCGUAGACGGCGAAGAAAGUCUGAAGUGAAAGCCCGCGGCUCAACCGCGGAAUGGCUUUGGAAACUUUUUUGCUGGAGUACCGGAG
This 305-nucleotide ribosomal RNA is filed under the name uncultured bacterium. RNAcentral's name for it is "bacterial SSU rRNA". It matches the Rfam family "Bacterial small subunit ribosomal RNA", at positions 333 to 654 of the family's 1533-position model. The record is from RNAcentral.